UACGUAGGUGGCAAGCGUUGUCCGGAUUUACUGGGCGUAAAGAGCGCGCAGGCGGUCGUUCAAGUCGCGUGUGAAAGCCCCCGGCUCAACUGGGGAGGGUCACGCGAUACUGAUCGACUGGAAGGCAGGAGAGGGUAGUGGAAUUCCCGGUGUAGUGGUGAAAUGCGUAGAUAUCGGGAGGAACACCGGUGGCGAAGGCGGUUUUCUAUCUUAUUCCUGACGCUAAUGCGCGAAAGCAAGGGGAUCAAACAGG
RNAcentral lists this ribosomal RNA (253 nucleotides) under uncultured bacterium. RNAcentral's name for it is "partial 16S ribosomal RNA". It matches the Rfam family "Bacterial small subunit ribosomal RNA", at positions 524 to 776 of the family's 1533-position model. The record is from RNAcentral.